AACGAACGCUGGCGGCGUGGAUUAGGCAUGCAAGUCGAACGCGAAAGCCCCUUCGGGGGCAAGUAGAGUGGCGUCCGGGUGAGUAACACGUGGGUAAUCUACCUCUGGGUGGGGAAUAACUCGCCGAAAGGCGGGCUAAUACCGCAUAAUGCAGCGGCACCGAAUGGUGAUUAGUUGUUAAAGCGGGGGACCUUAGGGCCUCGCGUCUGGAGAGGAGCCUGCGGCAGAUUAGCUUGUUGGAGGGUAAUGGCCUACCAAGGCUGCGAUCUGUAGCUGGUCUGAGAGGACGGCCAGCCACACUGGCACUGACACACGGGCCAGACUCCUACGGGAGGCAGCAGUGGGGAAUUUUGCGCAAUGGGCGAAAGCCUGACGCAGCAACGCCGCGUGAGGGAUGAAAUAUUUCGGUAUGUAAACCUCGCAAAUAUGGGAAGAACACAAUGACGGUACCAUAUGUAAGCCACGGCUAA
This 470-nucleotide ribosomal RNA is filed under the name uncultured bacterium. RNAcentral's name for it is "bacterial SSU rRNA". It matches the Rfam family "Bacterial small subunit ribosomal RNA", at positions 29 to 500 of the family's 1533-position model. The record is from RNAcentral.